Molecule: long non-coding RNA, 582 nt
Organism: Hipposideros armiger (great roundleaf bat)
Lineage: Eukaryota; Metazoa; Chordata; Mammalia; Chiroptera; Hipposideridae
Exons: 3
Source: RefSeq, a predicted model, not a curated record
GCGCUUAGCCAGUCCCGCAGCGGCCGCGGUGGGUGUGCCCCGCAGGGCGUGCGCCCCAAGCCCAGGCCGAUCCUGUUGGCGAGAGUGCGCCCGAGGUUGUGCGCGCCCCGGAUGCCGACUGUGCGCCAGCCCGGGUGUGCGCGCCCGGGACGGGGAUUGUGCACCCGGAGGCUGCGUGUUCCCCGAAGCCGGGCUGUGCUCCGGCCCCUACAACGGCCAGCCGUCUCCCGCCUGACUCCCGCUGCUCGCCAAGGUCCAGUAGUGGUACUGGGUUUGGAGAGCCUGGAGCCUCUGUGCCCACACCUCAUACCCGCCUCUGCUCCAAAGAGCUGAGUCUGCAGUGGGCUGGCUGAGACUCUUCACAGCGCCUGCCUGGGACACUGAGACCUUCCUCCUCUGCGGCUGCCUUCUCCCGGCUCCUGCACCCGCCCCUCUGAAGUCACUGGUCGGCUGUGCUGCAGUUGGAAACCCUGCCCGGAGCUGGAUCCUUACAGAAGUGAGCCAGCCGGCUGGAGAACUCAGUUGGCAGAAUCUUUUACAGGAGUGCAUCUCACCUCCCCCGGUGUCUGGGCUGCAGCCCUU